CGCCGAUCCCCGGACGCGCGGCCCCCCCACCCGCGGCCCCGCGCGCCUCUCCCUGACACCACCCUCCGCGGCCCCCUCCGGACCCUCUGGCCCCCAAGACGCCCCUCCGGCCCUCCCCUAGGAGAGGGGGCCCUCGCCAAGUCUCCGCCUUCCUGCCCUCCUCCUGUCAAUGCCGCUGUCCAGAGCUCGCAGCCCUGGGAACGCCACUCCAGCGGGGCCUCCUUCUCCUGGGACCCCCUGGGCCCCACCCCCAGGACCUCCCACCUCUGCAAACCCCGAGUUUGCUUUUCCCAUCCACCGGGCAGCUCUUCUCCACGCCCACCUGGCUGGACCCGGGAAACCGAAGAAGUUAGUGGGGGUUCACCAGUAGGAAUCGGUAUGAGGGAGAGCCUGGAGGAGGAAAUGGGGAAAGGGGAAAUGUUCAGAAGGAAUGGAGGACAGCGAGCAGGGUAUUCGGGGAUGGAGGACCAAGUGUGUUUCUUUGGGAAGUGCUGGCAUGUAGGGGUGUGUGCUGUGUACCUGUGUGAAGGAUGUACGCAGAAUGUAGAGUAUGGGGUACGUGAGGGUGGUGUGUACGUAUGUGUCCUGUGGCGGGGAGCGGUGUGCAUUCCGAGAUGUGCGCAGGGUGAACACAGUGUACGUGCAAUGUCCAGGCGUGUGGUGUGCAAGUGUGUGUCUGUGUGUUAUGUGGUGAAUGUGCAGGAAAGGUGUCGCCUUGAGGUGUGGGUAGAGUAUUGUAGGUGCUGGGGGGUUAUGAAUAGGGUAUGCGGGAGAACUGGCUAGAGAUUUCUCUCAGAGGACCAGCCAUGGAGAAGGCCAGGAUGAAGUCUUGGGGAGAACCUCGGGUGAGUUCAGCUCUGAGUCCAUUUCCGUUUUCAGAUCUGGCAGACAAAUCCCUCACACUCAGGUAAAUAAAUUCGGCCUGUGCUCGAGUGCACGAGAAGGGAGAACGUUGUAGUAGCCCAGAUCUGGACUUGGACCACUGGAGGCCUCCCUCUGGCAACCCCGCCCUGGCCUGCAGUCCGGGGUGUGGGUGAUUCAGGCCGCCUGCGCAGCAGCUUCGGAACCGCGGGUUGCCUUGGCUGCGCCUUUAGCUGGGGCUGGGAGAAGCCGGGUCCGAGAGUCGGGAAGAGGGAGAGGUGGAGAGAAUGCGCCUGCGCACGAGUCUUUCCCACAGCAGGUUCAAGUCAGGAAAAGGCCUAGGGACUUUCCUAUUUUUUGCCCUUUAAAGUCAGAGACCCUUCCAAAACUGAGCGCUGUAUUGCCUGGGGAAGCCGCGCCUAUGUGUCCGAGGCAGCUCUGGGGUUCUUGCCCACCCUUCCGGGAAGCCGAUUGCUAGUGGGUGUAUGGAGGCUUUCCAAAGACUCCCGGAGGUUUGCGUGGGUUUCACUUCGGGCCAUAGCUUCAGAAAGAGCGAGCCUGCCUCUCUGUAUUUUUAGCAGGAGGAGCAGAAUUUGAAACAGCAGCAUACCGGUCCUGCGCCUGGUGAAGGAUGACUCGCCAGAAAGCAAAGGCACAGCCCUACCUCCGCGAGCUUGGCGCGUGGCCCAGGAGGCUCCGCGAGCCCUCGUACGUAAGGAUCGCGGCGCCCACGCUUGAGAGCAGAGCUCAGUGCAAACUUCCAACGGUUCUUCCAGUUUCCAGGGAAACGAGAUCUGGAGCUGCUGUGCGUUGCAGAGCUGCCUCUCUGCAACCCACAUGGGACCCCUGUGGCUGGCUGGUCUUGGGGAAGAAGGAGUUGAAGCCACCACAUCCAUGAAGGUUUUGUCUGGAGCCUGUCUGAUCCGAUGCAUUCAGUACUGAAAGCUUUCAGGAACAUUCUUUUACUCACUUCUCAGGACAACCGGUGAGGUAGGUCCCCUGUUAUCCCCAGUAGGACUUUUCAUUAGUAAAUUAGUGACUGGAAUUGGGACAGAAACCCACACUCUGUGACCAGGCUAUGCUCCCCCCACCCCCGAUGCCUUCCUGAUUCCAACCCCUGCAGAGGAUCCUCAAGGUGCAGGAUUUCCCUGGAGUACAAAUAGGUCUUUUCUAUCAGGUCGGAUUGGAAAUGGCCAGGUCAGGAGAAUUCCAACUAUUUCUGGGGCUAGCUGAGUAUGUACGUGUCUGUGGUGCCAAAAAAAAAAAUAAAUAAAAAUCUAGUUCUUUGGAGAGUAUGGUGGCAGGAGCCUGCAAACACGGAGAGGGGAACUCACUGAGAAGGGUCUUUAAGCCGAAGCAAUUCAAUUUUAUUCUGAGGGCAGGAACACAGAGAUUUCAGGCGAGCAUCCUGGCGUGUGCUGAGAAGGAGCUCUGCUGCCUGGGAUCUAGGGGAGCGAAAGGAGCUUUCUCUCUGCUUGCAGUGUAAAAUCCCAGGUACAGGGAAUCACCCUGCAGCUUCUGCUCAGCAGUCUUUCUAAAAGGACUGGGAGUUAGCGGAGAGUGGGAGGGGCAAUCUGUGGUCCCGCGACAGCGAAACCGGGGAUGACAUUGAAGCUAACCCAGGUAGGAUUUUAGAGCAGAUUGAAUUGCUUUAUUUCAGGAUCCUUUCACCGAGGAAGAGCUCAUCAUGCUCUGUUGUGAGCCAUCCUCAACUUCCACUUGCAGAGUCUGCUUAACCUUCCAUGCAUGCCAAGGAGGGGACCCAGGGUAGCUGCGGUCUAGUCACGUGACCUGGAGGGUCAGAGGCAGGAAGGAGAGCAACUCCAGAAAGAACCACACCGGUGAGGGAUAACUUUGCCACUUUUCCAGGAAAAUGACAUCAUUAACUACUGUUCAAGUUCCUACAGAGGUCUGGCGGCCUUCUGGGGGCAGAGAGUCAGAGAGCAUGAUUCUCCCUACCUGGCUUCUUUUGUUCCAUAAAUAAUGUUUGUGGAGCGUGUCCACGAUGCUGCGCACAGCCCUGGCUCACUCAUGGCUGGUAAUGAAACCCUGCAGCUGACCAGUUUCACUGCAGUAAGCAACACAUUGCUUCUUGUUUGGGAAUGGUGUGUCGGGAAUCAUUGAGACACGCAGCUGAGUAACCCUGUCUGAUUAAUACUGUCUUUACUUCUAUUUCCCCCUCUUUGCAUCGAGGUGCAAUUUAUGUACAAUAAGAAUCAUUGAUUUUAACUGUAUGAUUCCACGAGUUUGGACAGCUGCAUACAUUAUACGGACGACCCACUCAUGACUCAAUGCUGGUCCAACUCCUGCAAAUGCUAAGCUCAGCUUUUCCCGACUCCCACCUCGUGCAGUAUACAGGAUUUCCUGUGCAUGGGCAACCUUUUCUGUCUGGCUUCAGUGCCUUUCAGAUUCGUCCAAACUCUCACAUGAAUCGAUUGGUUGUGCUUAUUGCUGAAUAGAAUUCUAGUAAAAAGUGUUUAUCCAUUCACGGCAUGGUGGGCAUUCUGGCUGUCUCUGACGGGGUGACUGACCUGUAUUCAACCGUGGUACCAUGCAGGUUUAAGUCGAUAUGAGCGUGCUUCCAACUCCUUAGGUGUGUGGUAGGAGUGUGAUUGCUGGGCUGCAUCACCACACAUUUACAGUUAUCCUUAAAGAAAACAGAAGAUCAUUAACUAGAAUCAUUUUCCGCCCCCAUCCCCCCGUGCCGUAUGUGUAUACUCCUGGGUUGUGUUUUUAGCAACACAAGGUGUGUCAGCUUCCCUAGCAUGUUGGCCAGCCUGGCGUCCAUAGAUGGAUUCUCAUGGUGGCUUUAAUUUGCAUUGCCUGGUUUUGAAUGCUAUCAACACUUUCACUUAUCUUCAGUAAUGCGCGGGCGCGCGCGCGCGCGCGCACACACACACACACACACACACACACACACACACACACACUUGGUUAGCUUUUUCGAAAAUUACGUGGUCUCUAAGUCUCUAUCAUUUUAUCAACAGUGAAUAGAAGCGUGACUGGAAAUGUGGCGUACGUUGGCCCUGUGGAUUCUCCUGUAAUAGCCCAAGCACAUAUUAUACCUCUUUCAGCUGAUCCCUCGAAAACUCAUCACUACUCAACCUGGUCUCCUCUGGAGUCUAAAUGAAGCACUUAAUGGGAAUCCACCUAAGCCUCCUCUGGCUUCUGUUUAUGACAGUAAAGAGUCCAGGUAAGUCAUGUCAGGGGUAGACAGAGCUGCCAGCUGCCCAUGUCUUAGCGAGAUCAGUGAGCUAUAUCUCCCAAGAGAGAAUUGUCAUUCUGCCUCUCUGCCAUGAGGACACUGCUGGACCACCUCUGCAGGAGCUUGCACUGAUGCUGUGCUAGAAAGAACAAAGACCCUUCUCUGCUUUGGUUUCCUUUAGAAAUGGUUCUGGCUCUGUCUCCCACAUACUCCAGCCUCCCACCACUCCAACUGGGGUGAACUUUCCUUCUACCUGUGGAACACAUCAAAUGGAGUUCUUGUGUUUCCUGUGUUCAUUUUCUCGUCUGAAAUCAUGCUGUUGCUGCUGUCUACCACACUAUGUCCUUGUAUUCCUAGACCUCCAAAACCAGGGCUGGACAGUCCAGGUGGAGCCUUUCUUCCUUAGCAGACGUAAGUAGACACAACCAUCCUGUAGGGCGAACAAGAGCUUGGUGGCUGGACAACCACUUCAGAUUUUCAAAUACACCCUCACAGAGAUGCUCAGGGAUGCUCACUGAAGUUUCAUCUGAGGCAGGGAGUCACAAGAAAGCAGAGAAGGAUGACCCCUGCCAAAACCAUGUUAGAGCAAAGGUGGCAGGGUCUCCCUUCCCUUGAAAUAACUCAAAUGCUGGACAGAGGACAGAAAGCAUGGUUUUCAAAUGCUAAUCAUGAAACAAGGCAAGACUGUGACAGAGAAUCAAAGAAAGCCUCCAGUGCCUCGUGUAACAGCUUAAGAGUUGCCAGCAAUGGUGCCAGCCGAGGAGCCCAGGCAGACUCAAAGAACUUCCCUGGGUUUAAGAGACAUGCUUGUGCUCAAGGGACCAAACUAAAUGUAUACAGGUUUGAUUUUUGUCAAUUAUGCUUCAAUAUAACUAUAAAAACUGGGGUAAAAGCACACUGUAAAAUACUGUCAAUCAGAAGUAACAAAGCUGUAUCUAAUACAUAACUCUAAGUGAGUAAAGAAUCAAUAUUGUCCAACCA
Molecule: small RNA, 5047 nt
Filed under: Rattus norvegicus (Norway rat)
Lineage: Eukaryota; Metazoa; Chordata; Mammalia; Rodentia; Muridae
Description: uncharacterized LOC102556249
Source: RNAcentral